Molecule: non-coding RNA, 92 nt
Filed under: bovine gut metagenome
Description: Pyrrolysine insertion sequence mttB
Rfam family: Pyrrolysine insertion sequence mttB
Source: RNAcentral
CGAUUCCAAGUGUGUUGACUCCCAGGCCGCUCAUGAAGCAACGCUUACCGCUCUCGUACCCGCGUUGGCAGGUGCCAACAUGAUCUACGGUA